This 497-nucleotide ribosomal RNA is filed under the name uncultured bacterium. RNAcentral's name for it is "partial 16S ribosomal RNA". It matches the Rfam family "Bacterial small subunit ribosomal RNA", at positions 28 to 507 of the family's 1533-position model. The record is from RNAcentral.
GAUGAACGCUGGCGGCGUGCCUAAUACAUGCAAGUAGAACGCUGAAGCUUGGUGCUUGCACCGAGCGGAUGAGUUGCGAACGGGUGAGUAACGCGUAGGUAACCUGCCUGGUAGCGGGGGAUAACUAUUGGAAACGAUAGCUAAUACCGCAUAACAGUAGAUAUUGCAUGAUAUCUGCUUGAAAGGUGCAAAUGCAUCACUACCAGAUGGACCUGCGUUGUAUUAGCUAGUUGGUGAGGUAACGGCUCACCAAGGCGACGAUACAUAGCCGACCUGAGAGGGUGAUCGGCCACACUGGGACUGAGACACGGCCCAGACUCCUACGGGAGGCAGCAGUAGGGAAUCUUCGGCAAUGGGGGGAACCCUGACCGAGCAACGCCGCGUGAGUGAAGAAGGUUUUCGGAUCGUAAAGCUCUGUUGUAAGAGAAGAACGAGUGUGAGAGUGGAAAGUUCACACUGUGACGGUAUCUGACCAGAAAGGGACGGCUAACUACGUG